This 263-nucleotide ribosomal RNA is filed under the name uncultured bacterium. Its description in RNAcentral is "partial 16S ribosomal RNA". It matches the Rfam family "Bacterial small subunit ribosomal RNA", at positions 793 to 1055 of the family's 1533-position model. The record is from RNAcentral.
GUCCACGCCGUAAACGAUGGGAACUAGGUGGUGGGGGUGUCGACUCCCUCCGUGCCGAAGCUAACGCAUUAAGUUCCCCGCCUGGGGAGUACGGCCGCAAGGCUAAAACUCAAAGGAAUUGACGGGGGCCCGCACAAGCAGCGGAGCAUGUGGUUCAAUUCGACGCAACGCGAAGAACCUUACCUAGGCUUGACAUGCACUGGAAUUGCCUAGAAAUAUGCAAGCCCUUCGGGGCUAGUGCACAGGUGGUGCAUGGCUGUCGU